GACGAACGCUGGCGGCGUGCUUAACACAUGCAAGUCGAACGGAAAGGCCCUGCUUUUGUGGGGUGCUCGAGUGGCGAACGGGUGAGUAACACGUGAGUAACCUGCCCUUGACUUUGGGAUAACUUCAGGAAACUGGGGCUCAUACCGGAUAGGAGCUCCUGCUGCAUGGUGGGGGUUGGAAAGUUUCGGCGGUUGGGGAUGGACUCGCGGCUUAUCAGCUUGUUGGUGGGGUAGUGGCUUACCAAGGCUUUGACGGGUAGCCGGCCUGAGAGGGUGACCGGCCACAUUGGGACUGAGAGACGGCCCAGACUCCUACGGGAGGCAGCAGUGGGGAAUAUUGCACAAUGGGCGGAAGCCUGAUGCAGCAACGCCGCGUGCGGGAUGACGGCCUUCGGGUGGUAAACCGCUGUCGCCGGUGACGAAGCGUGAGUGACGGUAAUGGGUAAAGAAGCACCGGCUAACUACGUG
This 468-nucleotide ribosomal RNA is filed under the name uncultured bacterium. RNAcentral describes it as "partial 16S ribosomal RNA". It matches the Rfam family "Bacterial small subunit ribosomal RNA", at positions 28 to 507 of the family's 1533-position model. The record is from RNAcentral.